UUCUUUCAACAACAACCGUGUAGGGGCUUAGUGACGGAGCCAAAAUUUUUAUUAAGAGGUGUUAAAAUACAAAUAAUUAGAUAUAUCAAAUAAUCAAGAAGAGUCAACGUAUAAUAAAUAUACAUAAAAUAAAAAAAAAUUAUCCCUUUAUUAUUGUUUGUAAAUACAUGUUUUUAUCAAGCCACCGUACACUUUUUUUGUUGGUUAGUAAAUAGUACUACAUGUUUUUAUCACUAUUUAAA
Molecule: long non-coding RNA, 242 nt
Filed under: Nicotiana benthamiana
Lineage: Eukaryota; Viridiplantae; Streptophyta; Magnoliopsida; Solanales; Solanaceae
Description: long non-coding RNA (NBEN_LNC002111)
Source: RNAcentral